This 1212-nucleotide long non-coding RNA is filed under the name Nicotiana benthamiana. RNAcentral describes it as "long non-coding RNA (NBEN_LNC033877)". Lineage: Eukaryota; Viridiplantae; Streptophyta; Magnoliopsida; Solanales; Solanaceae. The record is from RNAcentral.
AAGACCCGUCACUCAAUAAAAGCAACUACUACCAUACUUGACCGAAGCAUCCAUUAGCACUUUUGUGUUCUGGGUGCUUUCUUGCUUUAUAUAUCAAAAAGACGUCAAAUCUUUUAUAUAAUUAUGCAUAUUUUGUGGUAAGGUUACCGGGUAUUGAAACACCUAAAUUUAGUCUGUGAAUCCACCCAUGAGAAUGAGAGGUGAUUAUUAUGGUUUUCGGUGGUGGUCUGUUGGUGUAAUAACUGUAUUUCAUACACACAUAUAUAUAUAGUGUUAUUACACCCAUGAUAAUCACUCCCCGUUCUACCAUAUCAAUGCAAAAAAAAAACAAAAACAAAUUAUGUGUGUAUAUUGUGAUAUACCUAUUACAUACAAGUGAUAUACGCUGACAUGCAAUUGAUAUAUACUAUGUUAAUUAGAUGUCGUACAUACUUGUAUAUCACUUGUAUGUCAAAGUAUAUAGCUUAUGUAUACAAUGAUAUACAAUGAUAUAUACCUCCUGUACGUAGAGAUAAGAAGUCCAGGAAGCCAUCAGAGAGAAAUCUGGCGAAGAAGCAACAACGUAACAACAAACAACAUCCAAGCUCCAGCGAAUUAAGAAGCACCAGCAACGAAUAGAACUCGGGAGUUUUUUCGGCGAAGCAACGAGACUCCAAUGAAACAACGACGAACUUCGGUGAACAUCGGAAAACAUGCAAAAUUCUGAUGAUGGUGAAUGGAGGUCUAGAUGGGGAUAAGGACAACUAUGGUCUGUGGGAAAAGAAGAAAUGAAGAAAGAGAAGUUUGGAAGUAAGAGGGACAAAAAAGAAGAUCUUCAAAAUUCAUAAUUAUGCUAAAUUUGUCAGUGGGAUUAUUACUUGGUGGCUAAGGCACUCUUUUUCAGUAAAUAGGGUGUUCUAUUCUAUUGUAAUUCAUCCCAAAGUCAUAAGAAUUUCCUCUUGCUACUUUGCUCUGCAAUACUCUUCUUCUUCUUCUUUUAUUGUUUCAUAACACGUUAUCAGCACAAGACUCUAAUCAAUUGAGUAGAAGCUUUGGGAUUGAGCAUAAUGAUUGUCCAUUGUUUCAUGAACUUCCUUCAUGAUUAAAUUCUAGAUUUAAGGUAAGUAUUUUAUUUAUUUCUCUUUUCUUAAAAAUCUUGAAUUCUAUAAUUUGAUUUUAAAUACAAGUAAAGACAAUAAACUUUGAUUAUAACUCGAAUAGAGUUUGUAAGAU